Molecule: transfer RNA, 85 nt
Filed under: Solimicrobium silvestre
Lineage: Bacteria; Pseudomonadati; Pseudomonadota; Betaproteobacteria; Burkholderiales; Oxalobacteraceae
Description: tRNA-Leu
Rfam family: tRNA
About the family: Transfer RNA (tRNA) molecules are approximately 80 nucleotides in length. Their secondary structure includes four short double-helical elements and three loops (D, anti-codon, and T loops).
Source: RNAcentral
GCCUCGGUGGCGGAAUUGGUAGACGCGCUGGAUUCAAAAUCCAGUUCCGAAGGGAGUGCCGGUUCGAUUCCGGCCCGAGGUACCA